RNAcentral lists this ribosomal RNA (490 nucleotides) under uncultured bacterium. RNAcentral's name for it is "partial 16S ribosomal RNA". It matches the Rfam family "Bacterial small subunit ribosomal RNA", at positions 30 to 507 of the family's 1533-position model. The record is from RNAcentral.
AUUGAACGCUGGCGGCAGGCCUAACACAUGCAAGUCGAACGGUAACAGGAAGAAGCUUGCUUCUUUGCUGACGAGUGGCGGACGGGUGAGUAAUGUCUGGGAAACUGCCUGAUGGAGGGGGAUAACUACUGGAAACGGUAGCUAAUACCGCAUAACGUCGCAAGACCAAAGAGGGGGACCUUCGGGCCUCUUGCCAUCGGAUGUGCCCAGAUGGGAUUAGCUAGUAGGUGGGGGAACGGCUCACCUAGGCGACGAUCCCUAGCUGGUCUGAGAGGAUGACCAGCCAGACUGGAACUGAGACCCGGUCCAGACGCCUACGGGAGGCAGCAGUGGGGAAUAUUGCACAAUGGGCGCAAGCCUGAUGCAGCCAUGCCGCGUGUAUGAAGAAGGCCUUCGGGUUGUAAAGUACUUCCAGCGGGGAGGAAGGGAGUAAAGUUAAUACCUUGGCUCAUUGACGUUACCCGCAGAAGAAGCACCGGCUAACUCCGUG